This 261-nucleotide ribosomal RNA is filed under the name uncultured bacterium. Its description in RNAcentral is "partial 16S ribosomal RNA". It matches the Rfam family "Bacterial small subunit ribosomal RNA", at positions 29 to 308 of the family's 1533-position model. The record is from RNAcentral.
AAUGAACGUUGGCGGCGUGGAUUAGGCAUGCAAGUCGAGCGAGAACCGGAGCAAUCCGGGGAAAGCGGCAAACGGGGUAGUAAUGUGUCGGUACGUGCCCUCAGGUCGGGGAUAGCCAGGGGAAACGUCUGAUUAAUACCCGAUGAUCUCGAGAGAGCAAAGGUCCGCUGCCGGAGGAGCGGCCGACAUGGUAUCAGGUAGUUGGUGAGGUAACGGCUCACCAAGCCUUAGACGCCUAGGGGGCGUGAGAGCGCCGACCCC